GACGAACGCUGGCGGCGUGCUUAACACAUGCAAGUCGAACGCUGAAGCUCAGCUUUUGUUGGGUGGAUGAGUGGCGAACGGGUGAGUAACACGUGAGUAACCUGCCUCCUUCUUUGGGAUAACGCCCGGAAACGGGUGCUAAUACUGGAUAUUCACUGGUCUUCGCAGGGGGGUGGGGGAAAGGGGUUUUUUGGGGGGGGGAUGGGCUCGCGGCCUAUCGGCUGGUUGGGGGGGUGAUGGCCAACCAAGGCUUUGACGGGUAGCCGGCCUGAGAGGGUGACCGGUCACAUUGGGACUGAGAUACGGCCCAGACUCCUACGGGAGGCAGCAGUGGGGAAUAUUGCACAAUGGGCGCAAGCCUGAUGCAGCGACGCCGCGUGAGGGAUGGAGGCCUUCGGGUUGUGAACCUCUUUCGCUCAUGGUCAAGCCGCAACAAUGGUUGUGGUGAGGGUAGUGGGUAAAGAAGCGCCGGCUAACUACGUG
RNAcentral lists this ribosomal RNA (483 nucleotides) under uncultured bacterium. RNAcentral's name for it is "partial 16S ribosomal RNA". It matches the Rfam family "Bacterial small subunit ribosomal RNA", at positions 28 to 507 of the family's 1533-position model. The record is from RNAcentral.